AGUGAACGCUGGCGGUAGGCCUAACACAUGCAAGUCGAACGGCAGCACAGUAAGAGCUUGCUCUUACGGGUGGCGAGUGGCGGACGGGUGAGGAAUACAUCGGAAUCUACUUUUUCGUGGGGGAUAACGUAGGGAAACUUACGCUAAUACCGCAUACGACCUUCGGGUGAAAGCAGGGGAUCUUCGGACCUUGCGCGAUUGAAUGAGCGGAUGUCGGAUUAGCUAGUUGGCGGGGUAAAGGCCCACCAAGGCGACGAUCCGUAGCUGGUCUGAGAGGAUGAUCGGCCACACUGGAACUGAGACACGGUCCAGACUCCUACGGGAGGCAGCAGUGGGGAAUAUGGGACAAUGGGCGCAAGCCUGAUCCAGCCAUACCGCGUGGGUGAAGAAGGCCUUCGGGUUGUAAAGCCCUUUUGUUGGGAAAGAAAAGCAGCAGGUUAAUACCCCGCUGUUCUGACGGUACCCAAAGAAUAAGCACCGGCUAACUUCGUG
RNAcentral lists this ribosomal RNA (492 nucleotides) under uncultured bacterium. RNAcentral describes it as "partial 16S ribosomal RNA". It matches the Rfam family "Bacterial small subunit ribosomal RNA", at positions 29 to 507 of the family's 1533-position model. The record is from RNAcentral.